UAACUACACAGUACCACAAAAAUAACGGAAAUCACAGUUCACAUGGUGCACGCCCACACGUCUGUCACCUAGCAUGCACGUCACCUCAAAAAUCAAAUACAUAACUCGUAUAUCCAGGAUUCAUACCCUUAGCUCCAAGAUUAGAAGAGUUACUUACCUCGAACAAGCCAAUACCAAUGUCGAGCAAGCCAAGCGAAGCUCCAAAAAUUCCAUCACGUGCGUAGCGACCUCCGAGCGGUUCAAAACUAGCCAAAAGUAACUCAAGUACAUCAAAUAAAGCCCAAGGAAAAAGUUCCAAAUGAUAAAGAUCAAGUCCUUAAUCAAAACCCAAAACCGGCCAAAAAUCACACCCGGCCCGUGCCUCGGAACACGACAAAACUCACAAAAUCUGACAACCCAUUCAAUUACGAGUCCAACCAUACUAGUUUCACUCAAAUCCGACCUCGAAUCGAUGCUCAAAACUCAAACAUUCACAUUAUAAAACUUUAGGCUAAAACCCCCAAUUUUCUCUUUAAAAUUCACAAUCCAAUUAUCCAAAACAAAUAUAGAUUCAUAAAAUAUAACCAAAACCGAGUAGAGAACACUUACCCCAAUUUUUAUGGUGAAAAUUGCUUCAAACAUCGCCUCAUUCCGAGCUCCAUAGCUCCCAAAAUGUAAAAAUGUCUGAAACCUUCGAAAUACAGUACUAUAUACACUGCCCAGACGUCCUCUUUCACGAACGCGGGAAAACCAUCGCGUUCGCGAUGAACAAAAUAUCAGUUACCCAAAAAUACUCUAUGCGUUCGCGGCACAAGUCUCGCGAACGCGAUACACACCGGGGACAGAACUAUGUGAACGUGAUGAAUAAAGGCCUCCAGCUCCAGCUCCCAGCUCAACCCUACGCGAACACGAUCCCUCAUAUGUGAACGCGAAGAAGACUUGCCCCAACUCUACUCGAACACGGACCAAUAUUCGCGAACGCAAUGAAGAAAUGCCACUGCCAUCAAAAUUCACUACGCAUUCACGAUACAUGCCACACGAACGCGAACGCGAUGAAGGACUGAGACACUAGAAACCAGCAGAACACAUUAGUGAAAACAUGAAGGAAAUUAAUCCGAAUCAAUCCGAAACACGCCCGAGCCCCUCGUGACCCCAUCCUAACAUACCAACAAGUCCUACAAUAUAACACGGACCUACUCGAGGCCUCAAAAUACACAUAACAAUAUCGAAACGAUGAAUCACACCUCAACUCGAAAUCAAUGAACUUCGAAACUUCAAAAUUUCCACAACCGAUGCCGAAACCUAUCAAAUCACGUUCGAUUGACCUCAAAUUUUGCACAAACAUCACAUUAGACAGUACGGACCUGCUCCAACUUUCGGAAUCGGAAUCCGACCCCGAUAUCAAAAAGUCCUCUCCCGGUCAAAUUUUUUAAAUUUUUAACUUUCGCCAUUUUGAGCCAAAUUCAGCCACGGACCUCCAAAUCAUAAUCAGGACGCGUUCCUAAGUCCAAAAUCACCCAACGGAGCUAACGGAACCAUCAAAAUUUCAAUCCGAGGUCAAAUACUAAAAAGUCAAACUUGAUCAACUGUUUCAAAUUUAAAACUCCCUGGUUGGGAAUCAUUCUUCCAAAUCAGUCCCGAAUAACCUGAAAAUAAAAAUCGAUGAUUCACACAAGUCAAAAUACAUCAUACGGAGCUACUCACGCCCGUAAACUAUCAAACGAAGUACAAAUGCUCAAAACGACCGGUCGGGUCGUUACAAGCUCCCUGUCAACCAAGAUACCUACCCCAUUCUUACCCCUCUCGCAUCCUGAGACCAACAAUUUAAACCCAUUAGCAGCUCGAGCCUUCGAACCCAUGCAUCUAGUCUCCUGGACACAAGCUAUGUUGAUCUUCCUCUUCUGGAGGAUUUUCGCUAACUCUAUAGACUUCCCCGUCAAAGUUUCUAUGUUCCAGGACCCCACUCUCAGCUUAGAGACUCCCUUGCCCCCUUUGCCUGCCCGCCCCCCACCCCACCCGGGGACAUGACCUUAUUCCACCAUCACUCACUCCAGCCACUAUAAUAUACGGAAAAUUAUGCUAGAACCGUCGCUAAAACAGACAAAGGAUAAAAAUAAAGGAGGCGGGUCUAACACUUAUGACUCUAACCAUUAGAAAUGCAUACAUAUAAGACAAACAGACAAGUAAGAAUUAAACCAGUGAUAACAAUAGAUAUCUAAAAGAAGGCUAACAUAACACCUACUAAAAAAUCAAAUUCCAGUCUAUAAAUCCCUAAACAUUUACUAGCAAGAAAAAUAUCUAGGCAGAUGCACUAAAUAAUUAUAGGCAAUCAAGAAUUAGGCUUAAAAUAACAUAAACUAAUUGUAUACCAAUAAGGGAAGACAGAGAUAUUAACUAGGAACAGGAGGUACCAAUUCCUGAUUAGUGUGAAACCUGGGUGAAUCAUCGUAAAUGUCAAGGUCGUGCUGUCGUAGUAACCUUAGUCAAUUUUCCACUGCCUCCAACCGAUUUUGACAUCCGUUGCACGAUCUGAUCCAGUAAUAAAUACCUGCAAAAAUAGAAUGGGGAACCAAAGGAGAAGAAGAACAGAGGUAUGCCAAGAAAAACCCAAAUAGCAAUUCACUAAAAAGAUUGCAUUUUUAAAUUCAGAAGGAAAAAUAGUGGAAAACAAAGUGAUUGAUUUC
RNAcentral lists this long non-coding RNA (2663 nucleotides) under Nicotiana tabacum (common tobacco). RNAcentral's name for it is "long non-coding RNA (NTAB_LNC013075)". The record is from RNAcentral. Lineage: Eukaryota; Viridiplantae; Streptophyta; Magnoliopsida; Solanales; Solanaceae.